AGGAAGCAAAAAUCAAAUCAGAAAAUAUAAGUUAGAUAAGGUUUAGGCAGGAAAAUUGGAUUAGGAUUAAUUUAAUUAGGAAGAAUAAAUAAUAUAUAUAAUUAUAAUUUUAGGUUAGAACUGUUGAGGAAUAAGAUCAUAAUUUUAUAAAUAACUGGGUCUACUGUAUGUAAUAAAUAAGGUACAGAUAUAGGAAAAGGAAUACUAAGUGAUGAUAAAGAACUAUAUAGAAGUGAAUGAUCAAAAAGGGGACAUGAAAGAAUAAUGUGAUUUAAAUCGCCAAUGUCCGCACCGCAUUCACACUUACUGCUAUCCAGCACUCCGAUCGUCGCUAGAUGUGCCGGACUACACGUGUGGCCUAAUCUCAUCCGUAUCAAACUGGAAGUCUCGUGGCGUUUAAAAUUAUAUUUGUAGAACCAUGGUUUGGAAGGAAUGGUUGGUUGUACCCUUCGGUUUCUGCAGUCUAAGAGAAUAUGGUAAAUCGGUUGAGAUUUAAAAGGAAAUUUUGCAAGAGCCUGUAAAGCACUCUUUGAAUCGGGAUUUGAAAACGAACUUAUCAGAUAAAUAUUGACGUCUCAAAUGAAGAGGAGGAUCAACACAUUCUACCUGUAAUGCUGUAACAGGACUAGAUUUCAUGGCUCCAGUGAUAAUUCUGAGUGAUUUAGACUGUAUAGAGUCUAGUUUUUUGAAAGCAUUCACAUCCCCUGGUUGAAGUAAAAAAGUACCAUAAUGUAAAACUGAUCUUACUAUGGCAUUAUAUAAAAGUUUUAAAUUGAAUGGGUGGGCACCCCACCAUACACCGGCAAGAGAACAUGAGAGAGCUAUGGGUCUGUACGACAAUACAUCCGAUGAAGAUUUACCAGGCUUGAGAAUGGGUAAAAUAAUUUGUUUUUUCCAUGACUCUGGGAUAACACAUGUAAUGAACAUAGAAUUUAUAAGGUUGAGGUAAUAUGUGAGACUAGAAUCACUCAAAUGGGCAAAGAAAGAAUAAGGAAUCUUAUCAUCACCUGAAGCAGAGUCCUUAAGAUUCGAGAUUACCCCCUUCAGUUCAUUAAAUGAAAAAGGUAAAUCAAAAUCUGAAACUGGAUCUGAACAUGAGAAAGGAAGGACAAACGGGAUAAGAGCUAAACAUUCUUCUGGAACAUAAGGGGGAGCUAAUUUAUCAAGAAACUUGUCAGCCAGAUCAUAAGGCAAGUCUUUGACUGUAUUUUCUUUAUAUGCAGAUCUAAAUCUUCUUAUUUGGUUCCAUACUUCAGAAGGUGAGAUAUUAGGACAAAUCGAAGCACAAAAUUUUUUAAAACCUUCUCGUUUCUUUUUUAAUAAAAGAUUCCGAGU
Bombyx mori (domestic silkworm) is the source of this 1335-nucleotide long non-coding RNA. RefSeq lists it as uncharacterized. Lineage: Eukaryota; Metazoa; Arthropoda; Insecta; Lepidoptera; Bombycidae. The record is from RefSeq and is a predicted model, not a curated record. The transcript is spliced from 4 exons.